CACCGUCUCCACCAAGGUGGCCUCGAUGGCAUUCCAGACACAGGCCGGCGCCCAGAUCCCCAUCGAGCGGCUGGCCUCAGAGCGCGCCAUCACCGUGAAGGCCGCUACCUGUCUGAGGAACCCGAGCCCUACCUGGCAGUCUACCUGCACUCGGAGCCCCGGCCCAAUGAGCACAACUGCUCGGCUAGCAGGAGGAUCCGCCCAGAGUCACUCCAGGGUGCCGACCACCGGCCCUACACCUUCUUCAUUUCCCCGGGGAGCAGAGACCCAGCGGGGAGUUACCAUCUGAACCUCUCCAGCCACUUCCGCUGGUCAGUGCUGGAGGUGUCCGUGGGCCUGUACACGUCCCUGUGUCAGUACUUCAGCGAGGAGGACAUGGUGUGGAGGACAGAGGGGCUGCUGCCCCUGGAGGAGACCUCGCCCCGCCAGGCCGUCUGCCUCACCCGCCACCUCACCGCCUUCGGCGCCAGCCUCUUCGUGCCCCCAAGCCAUGUCCGCUUUGUCUUUCCGG
This 511-nucleotide small RNA is filed under the name Pan troglodytes (chimpanzee). RNAcentral's name for it is "processed transcript". The record is from RNAcentral. Lineage: Eukaryota; Metazoa; Chordata; Mammalia; Primates; Hominidae.